GGGGAAGCUAAGGGCAUGAGAAAGAUUAUGCAAGUUCUUCAGUAAGGGUUUUCAGUGUGGCUGUUUUCUUUGUAUUUGCAAACCAGAAAAAUUCUUGUACCUGGAUUUUACAUAUUACACAACCCCUGAGACUUUCCAUUUCUUGUGCCUAUGCUAUUUUUUUGACUAGCUUAUACCCCACCUUAACACUCCAUUUGAGAUGCACUCCAUGGGCACUCACAGGAACUGUAGUGGGACCAGUGUUGUACUGGAUAAUAAGGCCCUGAUGUUGCUGUAACUUCACUGGAAGAAUCCAGACCACAACAGCACAACAGCAUCAACUCACUUCCUCAUACAACAGAGAAUUUCUCCCAGUUUGUCCUUUAUGGUUAUUCAUCACCAGUGAUCCAGCAGAGCGUACAAAAUUUUUCUAAGGACUGCCAAGUACAAGUGAUGUAAUUGCCUGAUGGUGGUGAUAUUUGCAAGACCUUUGGAGAGUUCAGAAUUAGCUUCUUUACAGGUGAAGGCUGUGAGAGAACUCAUGAUAUUUCUGCAGUGGACUCCACAAGCUGUACUGGGAGGCUCUCCAGAGGAAGCUGCCACUCCCACUAUGCCCAGAGCAGAUGCCCAGCAGCCCCACAAGGGUGGAGGCACUGAUGCCACGGAACAGCACCGAGCUGCUCCCUGGCACCGGGGCACAGGGAUACACCCUGGAAUGUGUCACACAUCAGCUGGGUCACACGUGGAGCCCCGGUGUCACUACUGUGGCCACUCUCCUCCCAGACACUGCAAGUUCAGGCUGCCUUCUGCCAGCAGAGGUACUGAAGUGAGAGUGUGAGGAAGAAAAGCUGAUGUAAUGUCUUCCAGGAAAGUGAUGAAAGAAAGAGGAAAUAAAUGUUUGGAAUUUUGUCCUCUUUUUGUCUCA
Molecule: long non-coding RNA, 904 nt
Filed under: Parus major (Great Tit)
Lineage: Eukaryota; Metazoa; Chordata; Aves; Passeriformes; Paridae
Description: lncRNA (ENSPMJG00000019278.1)
Source: RNAcentral